CGGAGGGUGCAAGCGUUAAUCGGAAUUACUGGGCGUAAAGGGUUCGUAGGUGGUUUAUUAAGUUAUUUGUAAAAUCCCUGGGCUUAACCUGGGCAGGUCAGAUAAUACUGGUAGACUCGAGUAUGGGAGAGGGUAGUGGAAUUUCCGGUGCAGCGGUGAAAUGCGUAGAGAUCGGAAGGAACACCAGUGGCGAAGGCGGCUACCUGGCCUAAUACUGACACUGAGGAACGAAAGCGUGGGGAGCAAACAGGAUUAGAUACUCUGGUAGUCCACGCCGUAAACGAUGUCAACUAGCUGUUGGUCAUAUUGAUAUGAUUAGUGGCGCAGCAAACGCGAUAAGUUGACCGCCUGGGGAGUACGGUCGCAAGAUUA
This 372-nucleotide ribosomal RNA is filed under the name uncultured organism. Its description in RNAcentral is "bacterial SSU rRNA". It matches the Rfam family "Bacterial small subunit ribosomal RNA", at positions 526 to 896 of the family's 1533-position model. The record is from RNAcentral.